GGAUUGGGCAGUUUGCGGUCACCGACAACACCGUUGCGUUCGCGAACAACAGUGUUGCCCGUGAACGCAGGAUGCCGGUCC
RNAcentral lists this microRNA precursor (81 nucleotides) under macacine gammaherpesvirus 12. Its description in RNAcentral is "miRc-N15". Lineage: Duplodnaviria; Heunggongvirae; Peploviricota; Herviviricetes; Herpesvirales; Orthoherpesviridae. The record is from RNAcentral.